UACGUAGGCAGCAAGCGUUGUUCGGAAUUACUGGGCGUAAAGAGUGUGUAGGCGGUGCUCUAAGUCUGUUGUGAAAUCUCCCGGCUUAACUGGGAGGGUGCGGCGGAGACUGGAGUGCUAGAGUGUGGGAUAGGUAAGCGGAAUUCCUGGUGUAGCGGUGAAAUGCGUAGAUAUCAGGAGGAACACCUGUGGUGUAGACAGCUUACUGGACCACGACUGACGCUGAGACACGAAAGCGUGGGUAGCAAACAGG
This 253-nucleotide ribosomal RNA is filed under the name uncultured bacterium. Its description in RNAcentral is "partial 16S ribosomal RNA". It matches the Rfam family "Bacterial small subunit ribosomal RNA", at positions 524 to 776 of the family's 1533-position model. The record is from RNAcentral.